Molecule: ribosomal RNA, 338 nt
Filed under: uncultured Sphingobacteriales bacterium
Lineage: Bacteria; Pseudomonadati; Bacteroidota; Sphingobacteriia; Sphingobacteriales
Description: bacterial SSU rRNA
Rfam family: Bacterial small subunit ribosomal RNA
Source: RNAcentral
GCGUGGUUGUCGUCAGCUCGUGCCGUGAGGUGUCGGGUUAAGUCCCAUAACGAGCGCAACCCUACCUUUAGUUGCCAUCAGGUAAUGCUGGGGACUCUAAAGGAACUGCCUACGCAAGUAGUGAGGAAGGCGGGGAUGACGUCAAAUCAGCACGGCCCUUACGUCCAGGGCUACACACGUGCUACAAUGGCCGAUACAGAGGGCAGCUACCUGGUGACAGGAUGCUAAUCUCAAAAGCCGGUCUCAGUUCGGAUCGGAGUCUGCAACCCGACUCCGUGAAGCUGGAAUCGCUAGUAAUCGUGGAUCAGCAUGCCACGGUGAAUACGUUCCCGGGCCUU